RNAcentral lists this ribosomal RNA (401 nucleotides) under uncultured bacterium. Its description in RNAcentral is "bacterial SSU rRNA". It matches the Rfam family "Bacterial small subunit ribosomal RNA", at positions 30 to 431 of the family's 1533-position model. The record is from RNAcentral.
AUUGAACGCUGGCGGCAUGCCUUACACAUGCAAGUCGAACGGCAGCACGGGAGCAAUCCUGGUGGCGAGUGGCGAACGGGUGAGUAAUAUAUCGGAACGUGCCCAGUCGUGGGAGAUAACGUAGCGAAAGCUACGCUAAUACCGCAUACGAUCUAUGGAUGAAAGCGGGGGAUCGCAAGACCUCGCGCGAUUGGAGCGGCCGAUAUCAGAUUAGGUAGUUGGUGAGGUAAAGGCUCACCAAGCCGACGAUCUGUAGCUGGUCUGAGAGGACGACCAGCCACACUGGGACUGAGACACGGUCCAGACUCCUACGGAGGCAGCAGUGGGGAAUAUUGGACAAUGGGCGAAAGACCUGAUCCAGCCAUGCCGCGUGUGUGAAGAAGGUCUUCGGAUUGUAAAGC